This 420-nucleotide ribosomal RNA is filed under the name uncultured Bacteroidaceae bacterium. Its description in RNAcentral is "bacterial SSU rRNA". It matches the Rfam family "Bacterial small subunit ribosomal RNA", at positions 979 to 1397 of the family's 1533-position model. The record is from RNAcentral. Lineage: Bacteria; Pseudomonadati; Bacteroidota; Bacteroidia; Bacteroidales; Bacteroidaceae.
AUUUAAAUGUAUGUUGCAUAAGCUGGAAACAGCUUUUUCUCUUCGGAGCUAUAUACAAGGUGCUGCAUGGUUGUCGUCAGCUCGUGCCGUGAGNNGUCGGGUUAAGUCCCAUAACGAGCGCAACCCUUACCGUUAGUUGCUAACAUAUAAUGNUGAGCACUCUAUCGNGACUGCCACCGUAAGUUGAGAGUAAGNNGGGGAUGACGUCAAAUCAGCACGGCCCUUACAUCCAGGGCGACACACGUGUUACAAUGGCCAUAACAGCGGGUAGCUACCGGGCGNACCGGAUGCAAAUCUCGAAAAUUGGUCUAAGUUCGGAUUGGAGUCUGCAACCCGACUCCAUGAAGUUGGAUUCGCUAGUAAUCGCGCAUCAGCCAUGGCGCGGUGAAUACGUUCCCGGGCCUUGUACACACCGCCCGU